Molecule: ribosomal RNA, 433 nt
Filed under: uncultured bacterium
Lineage: Bacteria
Description: partial 16S ribosomal RNA
Rfam family: Bacterial small subunit ribosomal RNA
Source: RNAcentral
AACGAACGCUGGCGGCAUGCCUAACACAUGCAAGUCGAACGAGACCUUCGGGUCUAGUGGCGCACGGGUGCGUAACGCGUGGGAACCUGCCCUUAGGUUCGGAAUAACUCCCCGAAAGGGGUGCUAAUACCGGAUAAUGUCUUCGGACCAAAGAUUUAUCGCCUUUGGAUGGGCCCGCGUUGGAUUAGCUAGUUGGUAGGGUAAAAGCCUACCAAGGCGACGAUCCAUAGCUGGUCUGAGAGGAUGAUCAGCCACACUGGGACUGAGACACGGCCCAGACUCCUACGGGAGGCAGCAGUGGGGAAUAUUGGACAGUGGGCGAAGGCCUGAUCCAGCAAUGCCGGGUGAGUGAUGAAGGCCUUAGGGUUGUAAAGCUCUUUUACACGGGAUGAUAAUGACAGUACCGGGAGAAUAAGCGCCGGCUAACUCCGUG